UAACUGCGAGUGAAGCGGCAAAAGCUCAAAUUUGAAAACCGGCAACACCAGCCGGCAGUGUAAUUUGAAGGGACAUCUUCGGAGCUGGCGCCGUCUUAAGUUCUUUGGAACCGGACAUCAUAGAGGGUGAGAAUCCCGUGCCUGGGUGGCUGUCCUGCUCCGUGUGAAGUGUCUCCGACGAGUCGAGUUGUUUGGGAAUGCAGCUCAAAAUGGGUGGUAAAUUUCAUCUAAAGCUAAAUAUUGGCGAGAGACCGAUAGCGCACAAGUAGAGUGAUCGAAAGAUGAAAAGCACUUUGAAAAGAGAGUUAAAUAGUACGUGAAAUUGUUGAAAGGGAAGCGCUUGAGACUAGAUUCAGCCGGCGGUGAUCAGCUAUGCUUCUGCGUGGUGCACUUGCCGUCGGUUGAGCCAGCAUCGGUUUUGAUGGCGGGAUAAAGGUUUGAGGAAUGUGGCUCUCCGUUUCGGGGAGUGUUAUAGCCUCGAGCGUAAUGCCGCCUGUUGGGACCGAGGACCGCGCUUCGGCUAGGAUGCUGGC
Molecule: ribosomal RNA, 533 nt
Filed under: Otidea sp. HMAS 83570
Lineage: Eukaryota; Fungi; Ascomycota; Pezizomycetes; Pezizales; Pyronemataceae
Also listed under: 1 other name
Description: LSU rRNA
Rfam family: Eukaryotic large subunit ribosomal RNA
Source: RNAcentral